RNAcentral lists this ribosomal RNA (532 nucleotides) under uncultured bacterium. RNAcentral's name for it is "partial 16S ribosomal RNA". It matches the Rfam family "Bacterial small subunit ribosomal RNA", at positions 33 to 541 of the family's 1533-position model. The record is from RNAcentral.
AGUGAACGCUGGCGGUAGGCCUAACACAUGCAAGUCGAACGGCAGCACAGUAAGAGCUUGCUCUUACGGGUGGCGAGUGGCGGACGGGUGAGGAAUACAUCGGAAUCUACUUUUUCGUGGGGGAUAACGUAGGGAAACUUACGCUAAUACCGCAUACGACCUACGGGUGAAAGCAGGGGAUCUUCGGACCUUGCGCGAUUGAAUGAGCCGAUGUCGGAUUAGCUAGUUGGCGGGGUAAAGGCCCACCAAGGCGACGAUCCGUAGCUGGUCUGAGAGGAUGAGCAGCCACAUGAGGAGUGAGACACGCUCCACACGACGGCGUGCGGCAGCAUGGGGCAUACUAGGCCGAGCGGCGCAGGGAGUGUCCCGCCGUGCGGGGGGGCUGCGGACGGCCUUGUGUUCGGCAGGCGUUUUGGUGGGAAAAGAACAGCUGCUGCUUACUCCGCGGGUGUUAUGACCGUACCCAAAGAAUACGCCCCGGCUAAUUGCGUGCCAGCAGCCGCGGUAAGAAUCGAAGAGCACCCGUCUGAUC